CAUGCACACCCAGCUGUGAGGUGGUCCCUUUUGGUUAAGGAGAGGACAUGUGGGCGAAUGAAAUGAGGAGAAAACAAGAAGAGGGGAGGCCUCUUAGAGGGGAUUAUUAAGACAUUGGUUGAAAAAGAGAAAGAGAGGGUCUCAUUUCAUCAAAAAAAGAAAAACUCAUUUUUCCUUCUUCCCCAAGGACACGCCGCCAUCGUCAUCUUCAUCCUCACUAAAUCGGCGACCUCGCCUUAACCCACAACUCUGUUUUACUCUUUCUUUCCGCCUCAUUCGCUACUUUUGUUUCCGUUUCUUAAUUUUCUUCCAACUACAAUCCACACAGUAUAGAGAAUUCGUUUCCCAAACCUUUAGCUCAUAAAGAGCACCACCAACGUAGAACGACGAUCGGUCGUGAAGCACCUCAACGUCGCUGUCUUCAAGCUCGACAUCUCUUCACCAUGAACAAAAUCAACUCAGCAAGGACGAAUAGAGUUAACGCGGUCUCGAUCCGAGCAGUGUAAUAACUUUCGAAUAAGGGGUACGAUCUCGAUUCAGAUCUGUUUUGGAUCUGUUUACACCUGUUUUAUUUACCGUUUCCUUUCCUAUGGACAUUGAUGGACUGUUGUGUCGGCGCCGUUGAUUUUGUCACCAUGAUGCACGUGUGUGUUGUUUUUCACUGUAGGUUUUAUUGCGUUGCCAAAUCGAUAGUGUGAAUCGUGUUUCACUCUCGAUUAAGUUUCAGUGCGUACUUUAUAUUAAUUAUAGUUUUGUUUGGACAAUGCAUCAAUAGAAUGGUGUAGUAGACGCAUUUGAGUUGUUGUUGUUGUUCAUGUAAAUUUAAUGUCGGUUUUAGAUUGGAAAGUUUGUUUAGAGUAUCAGUUUAUGACGAUGAAGUUGUUCUGCACGUAGUAAAUGUUACGACUCUGCUUAGUAAUGUUUAAUGUUCCUAAUGUGGUUAAGAUUAAAUAUGGUAAAAGAAAACCAUGUUUAAAAAGAAUGUUGAAUUUAUGUUUUAGUUGGCUAUAUUUUUUCCAUUCAUGGCAUCUCUGAAAUACUUCCCUUUAUGGAUUGUUUUGAGGCACAGUAUGUACAGUGCACGGUUCAUGGAAAGAGCACUUUGAUUUGCAUAGUUUUAAAUCCACUAUUUUCUUGUAGCAGGUUGCAUGAGCUUGUUUUGGUUUUGUAAAAAAAAAGAGGAUCAUGUUAUUGUUUCAUCUUUGUGAUUUUAUUUAUACAUUUCAGCAUUUUCGUUUAUGUCAUAUAUUGGUGAUUGAAAGCAUAUAUCAGUAGGUGAUCCUGUUAAGUGGUAAAAGUGUAGGUUUGCAUUCCUAGGACCAUGGGUUCAAUCCUUGUGCAUGUCAUUUUCUAUUUAUUUCAUUAUUUUACCAUUUUUGUUUAUUAUUUUCUCUUUUAAUAUUUUUAUGUUUUAUUCUCAUUUUUACGACACUUGUUGAUUUUUAUGUAUGUCCUUGAUCUAUUGUUUAAACAUCGAUUUUUUUAAUUUAUGGAUUUGCC
RNAcentral lists this long non-coding RNA (1500 nucleotides) under Lathyrus oleraceus (garden pea). RNAcentral's name for it is "Pisum sativum (pea) long non-coding RNA (PSAT_LNC019277)". The record is from RNAcentral. Lineage: Eukaryota; Viridiplantae; Streptophyta; Magnoliopsida; Fabales; Fabaceae.